RNAcentral lists this ribosomal RNA (301 nucleotides) under uncultured bacterium. RNAcentral's name for it is "partial 16S ribosomal RNA". It matches the Rfam family "Bacterial small subunit ribosomal RNA", at positions 509 to 807 of the family's 1533-position model. The record is from RNAcentral.
CAGCAGCCACGGGAAUACGUAGGUGGCAAGCGUUGUCCGGAUUUAUUGGGCGUAAAGCGAGCGCAGGCGGUUCCUUAAGUCUGAUGUGAAAGCCCCCGGCUCAACCGGGGAGGGUCAUUGGAAACUGGGGAACUUGAGUGCAGAAGAGGAGAGUGGAAUUCCAUGUGUAGCGGUGAAAUGCGUAGAGAUUAGGGGGAGCACCAGUGGCGAAGGCGGCUUUUCGGCCUGUAACUGACACUGAGGCGCGAAAGCGUGGGGAGCAAACAGGAUUAGAUACCCCUGUAGUCCCUGUCUCUUAUAC